This 843-nucleotide ribosomal RNA is filed under the name uncultured bacterium. Its description in RNAcentral is "bacterial SSU rRNA". It matches the Rfam family "Bacterial small subunit ribosomal RNA", at positions 8 to 863 of the family's 1533-position model. The record is from RNAcentral.
AGAGUUUGAUCCUGGCUCAGGACGAACGCUGGCGGCGCGCCUAACACAUGCAAGUCGAACGAGCGAGAGAGAGCUUGCUUUCUUGAGCGAGUGGCGAACGGGUGAGUAACGCGUGAGGAACCUGCCUCAAAGAGGGGGACAACAGUUGGAAACGACUGCUAAUACCGCAUAAGCCCACGACCCGGCAUCAGGUAGAGGGAAAAGGAGCAAUCCGCUUUGAGAUGGCCUCGCGUCCGAUUAGCUGGUUGGUGAGGUAACGGCCCACCAAACCGACGAUCCAUAGCCGGCCUGAGAGGGUGAACGGCCACAUUGGGACUGAGACACGGCCCAAACUCCUACGGGAGGCAGCAGUGGGGAAUAUUGCACAAUGGGGGAAACCCUGAUGCAGCGACGCCGCGUGAGUGAAGAAGUAAUUCGUUAUGUAAAGCUCUAUCAGCAGGGAAGAAAAUGACGGUACCUGACUAAGAAGCCCCGGCUAACUACGUGCCAGCAGCCGCGGUAAUACGUAGGGGGCAAGCGUUAUCCGGAUUUACUGGGUGUAAAGGGAGCGUAGACGGCCGUGCAAGUCUGAUGUGAAAGGCUGGGGCUCAACCCCGGGACUGCAUUGGAAACUGUAUGGCUGGAGUGCCGGAGAGGUAAGCGGAAUUCCUAGUGUAGCGGUGAAAUGCGUAGAUAUUAGGAGGAACACCAGUGGCGAAGGCGGCUUACUGGACGGUAACUGACGUUGAGGCUCGAAAGCGUGGGGAGCAAACAGGAUUAGAUACCCUGGUAGUCCACGCCGUAAACGAUGAUUACAAGGUGUUGGGGGGACUGGCCCUUUGGUGGCGCCCGCAAACGCAGUAA